RNAcentral lists this non-coding RNA (29 nucleotides) under Mus musculus (house mouse). Lineage: Eukaryota; Metazoa; Chordata; Mammalia; Rodentia; Muridae. The record is from RNAcentral.
UGCCCAUGAAGCUGAUUCAGUUCCCUGGA